This is a long non-coding RNA of Zootermopsis nevadensis, 749 nucleotides long. RefSeq lists it as uncharacterized. The record is from RefSeq and is a predicted model, not a curated record. Lineage: Eukaryota; Metazoa; Arthropoda; Insecta; Blattodea; Termopsidae.
CUCAAGACGGCAAGUCUGCUAAGCUGGCUAUGAACAGGCCUGAGACAUACGGAGGGCAGGAAAAGAAAGGAUAUUAGGAUAUUAUUGUGAAAGUCCUUCACAUCUAAAUCCUUCUGAAGUUUUCUUGUCAGUGAGCAAAGCCCAUUAACCACAGCAUGCCACUGCUGGCUUAUAAUUUACACAAAAAUAGCACAAAGAUUUGGAUGAAAGCCAACAUUCAGAAACUUCUGUUCCAUUUCAACAUCAGGGAGAGUUCAACAUUUUUAAAUUCACAUUAUAUAAAUUGGACUUGUACUAGUGAUGGAAGCCGCAUCUCCAUUAGGGGCUAUAAUAGAAACAUGAGCUGUUCCAUGGUCAUCCACACUGUAAUUUACUGCACCGUAAUAUCCAGGGUCUGUGUGGUAUUUUGUAAUGUAACUGACCCAGAUGCAACCAUAUUCUAAAUCAGUCAGAUGAUGGCAUGACUGGUGGUGAAGAUAUUUCGACAGAGGACCAGGAUAAAAUGCAUAACAAGAAACUUCGUAAUUUGUACUUUUUAUACAGCAUGGUUAGUCUGACUAAAUAAAGAACAAGAUGUAUGGGAGGAACAAGAACUGCACACAAUAUUUCUGCUGGAAAAUCUCAAUAAAAGAAAUUAAGGUUUGAAUGUGUAAACUGAAUUCAGAUGGUUCAGGAUAAAACAGCUGGUAAGCUUUUAUACAAAGGCUCUGAAAUUCUGUAGAUGAAUAAAGGAAUCAUGAUUGCAUUCA